Molecule: ribosomal RNA, 408 nt
Filed under: uncultured bacterium
Lineage: Bacteria
Description: partial 16S ribosomal RNA
Rfam family: Bacterial small subunit ribosomal RNA
Source: RNAcentral
GACGAACGCUGGCGGCGUGCUUAACACAUGCAAGUCGAACGAAGUGGCGAACGGGUGAGUAAUACGUGAGUAACCUGCCCUCCUUUUUGGGAUAAGCGUUGGAAACGGGGUCUAAUACCGAAUAAGGGGGGGUGGGCUCGUGGCAUAUCAGCUGGUUGGUGGGGUGAUGGCGUACCAAUGCGGUGACGGUUCGCCGGCCUGAGAGGGUGACCGGGCACAUUGGGACGGACAUACGGCCCAGAGUCCUACGGGAGUCAGCAGUGGGGGAUAUUGCACAAUGGGCGACAGCCUAAUGCAGCGUCGCCGAGUGGGGGAUGAAGGUUUUCGGGUUGUAAUCCUCUUUCGCUAUCGAACCGGUAGUUGCAGAAGAAGCGCCGGCUAACUACGUGCCAGCAGCCGCGGUAAUAC